CGUGUAGGCGGUUAGGAAAGUCAGAUGUGAAAGCCCUGGGCUCAACCCAGGAAGUGCAUUUGAAACUGUCUGACUUGAGUACGGGAGAGGAGGGGGGAAUUCCCGGUGUAGAGGUGAAAUUCGUAGAUAUCGGGAGGAAUACCGGUGGCGAAGGCGCCCCUCUGGACCGAUACUGACGCUGAGACGCGAAAGCGUGGGGAGCAAACAGGAUUAGAUACCCUGGUAGUC
This 228-nucleotide ribosomal RNA is filed under the name uncultured bacterium. Its description in RNAcentral is "partial 16S ribosomal RNA". It matches the Rfam family "Bacterial small subunit ribosomal RNA", at positions 568 to 795 of the family's 1533-position model. The record is from RNAcentral.